UAGGCGUACGGGUGAGUAACACGUGGAUCAUCUACCUCUUAGUGGGGAAUAACUUUGGGAAACCGAAGCUAAUACCGCAUAAGCCUGGAAAGGGGAAGCAGCAAUGCGCUGAGAGAGGAGUCCGCGGCCGAUUAGCUAGUUGGCAGGGUAAAAGCCUACCAAGGCAUUGAUCGGUAGCCGGCCUGAGAGGGCACACGGCCACACUGGCACUGAAACACGGGCCAG
Molecule: ribosomal RNA, 225 nt
Filed under: uncultured bacterium
Lineage: Bacteria
Description: partial 16S ribosomal RNA
Rfam family: Bacterial small subunit ribosomal RNA
Source: RNAcentral